UGUCCAGCAACUCCUAUCCCUACCUCCUCGUGGUACUGGCCGGGGUACGAGUAACCUUAGGGAAGAUCGGGUAACCAACCCCCGGUGGGAACUUUGGUCGUAUGCUGACAGGGAAGG
This 117-nucleotide ribozyme is filed under the name Aedes aegypti (yellow fever mosquito). RNAcentral's name for it is "drz-agam-1 ribozyme". It matches the Rfam family "drz-agam-1 ribozyme". The record is from Rfam by way of RNAcentral. Lineage: Eukaryota; Metazoa; Arthropoda; Insecta; Diptera; Culicidae.